Molecule: non-coding RNA, 204 nt
Organism: Punica granatum (pomegranate)
Lineage: Eukaryota; Viridiplantae; Streptophyta; Magnoliopsida; Myrtales; Lythraceae
Source: Rfam
UGCCCAAUGAGGAAGAUUACCCAAAUUGAUAGGAAGUGCCGUAUGACACUCCAAAAAGCAGCGGUGCCGCUCUCUAUCGCCGCCUUCUUCCCACCCACCGCUUCCACUGCCUGCUCACUUCCUCGAGGAGGCAGAGGGUCGGCCGGGAUCGGGCGUCGAUGGCGGCCCGCUGUGUGGUUGAUUUGAAACGGGACUCUGAGGGAU